AAGCCCAUGAUUUGGGUAUUUCCUCUACAUCAUUUUGAAUCUCUCCCAUGUCUCAUAGAAAGAUUCCUCUGCUCCUUGUCUGAACAUAGAGAUUUCAUACUUUGCUU
This is a non-coding RNA of Phaseolus vulgaris (common bean), 107 nucleotides long. Lineage: Eukaryota; Viridiplantae; Streptophyta; Magnoliopsida; Fabales; Fabaceae. The record is from Rfam.